Molecule: ribosomal RNA, 414 nt
Filed under: uncultured prokaryote
Description: bacterial SSU rRNA
Rfam family: Bacterial small subunit ribosomal RNA
Source: RNAcentral
UGAGGAAUUUUGCGCAAUGGGCGAAAGCCUGACGCAGCGACGCCGCGUGGAGGAAGACGGCCUUCGGGUUGUAAACUCCUGUCAGGGGUGAAGAAACUUCGCAAGAAGCUGACGGUAACCCCAGAGGAAGCCCCGGCUAACUACGUGCCAGCAGCCGCGGUAAUACGUAUGGGGCAAGCGUUGCUCGGAAUUACUGGGCGUAAAGGGUGUGUAGGUGGCUGAUUAAGUUAAGGAUGAAAGCCCGAGGCUCAACUUCGGAACUGUCCGUGAUACUGGUCAGCUUGAGGCUAGUAAAGGAGAGCGGAAUGCCCGGUGGAGCGGUGAAAUGCGUAGAGAUCGGGAGGAACACCAGAGGCGUAGGCGGUUCUCUAGGCUAGUCCUGACACUGAGACGCGAAAGCUAGGGGAGCAAACG